This 206-nucleotide small nucleolar RNA is filed under the name Sorex araneus (European shrew). Its description in RNAcentral is "Small nucleolar RNA U3 (ENSSARG00000015684.1)". It matches the Rfam family "Small nucleolar RNA U3". From Rfam's summary of the family: Small nucleolar RNAs (snoRNAs) are involved in the processing and modification of rRNA in the nucleolus. There are two main classes of snoRNAs: the box C/D class, and the box H/ACA class. The record is from RNAcentral. Lineage: Eukaryota; Metazoa; Chordata; Mammalia; Eulipotyphla; Soricidae.
UAGAAUAUAUUUUCAGGGAUCAUAUCUAUAGUCACUAGAGAAGUUUCUCUGAACAUGUAGAGCACCAGAAACCAUGAUGAAGACAUAAAAUGUUCUCUCCUGAGUGUGAAGCUGGCGUUGAGUAUUGUUUUUGCAACUGCUCUCUUACUAGUGACUUUUCAUACCACUUCUAUGGUGGCAGGAGGGAGAGGAUGCAAUCUCAGUGG